Molecule: ribosomal RNA, 242 nt
Filed under: uncultured Bacillota bacterium
Lineage: Bacteria; Bacillati; Bacillota
Description: uncultured Firmicutes bacterium partial 16S ribosomal RNA
Rfam family: Bacterial small subunit ribosomal RNA
Source: RNAcentral
CUAGUGGCGGACGGGUGAGUAACGCGUGGGUAACCUGCCUUAUACAGGGGGAUAACAGUCAGAAAUGACUGCUAAUACCGCAUAAGCGCACAGGGCCGCGUGGCCCGGUGUGAAAAACUCCGGUGGUAUAAGAUGGACCCGCGUUGGAUUAGCUGGUUGGUGGGGUAACGGCCCACCAAGGCGACGAUCCAUAGCCGGCCUGAGAGGGUGAACGGCCACAUUGGGACUGAGACACGGCCCAG